This 411-nucleotide unclassified non-coding RNA is filed under the name Hevea brasiliensis (rubber tree). The record is from RNAcentral. Lineage: Eukaryota; Viridiplantae; Streptophyta; Magnoliopsida; Malpighiales; Euphorbiaceae.
AGAGAGAGAGAGAGAGAGUAUCAUGUCCUAUCUAGGAUAGUGUUUAUAUAACUAGACUAUGAAAGAUAUUAUCAAUGAAGUAUUUAUUAUAAAAAUAGCUCGUAUAUAGAAAAUUUAUUGAAAAUUAAUUCUAAAGAACAUGGGUCUACAACUGGUGGAUCCUCUUAUUAGAAAAAAAUUGUGAAUCUGCCGAUGGGAUUCAAACCUGAAUCAAUUGAUAGAAUUUGCAGCUGAUUGUCAUCUAUUCUACAUAGUUACAAAGGCUCAAGGUGCACUAAGACACCAAGGGGUCCUGGAGCCUGGGCGUUAGGCUUAGGCGCACGCCUUAAUGAGGUGAGGCGCAAAAAUAAAAAAUCAAAGUCAAAUGAAUGUGAAUAUUCUAUCAAUUUUCAAAUAACAUAAAACUAAAAA